AGAGCUGAGGACUCUCUGUCGCGCCCACAUUUCUGGUGUUUAUCGACCCUGCUGCUAACAACUUUGGCCUCCAAACGUGGAGCUAAACUCUACCGGUGGAAGCUGAAUUAGUGAUGAUGACUCCUGCUCCUGUCAUCUCUAAGCUCCUCACACAUCUUUACCUGCACAUGAGGAAAAUCACUCCUGUAGAAUGCAGAUGAAAGAAGCUCAGCCGUGGUGUUACAUGCGUCGGUACAAGCAGAAAAACAACCACGUAAGAAGAGAUUGUUGCACGUACAGAGGGAAUGCAUGCCUACACACACAGACAGAAAAUGACAUUUUCAUGCUAAAAAAAAAAGCACCUUCACAAUUUCAGACAGAGGACAAAAGCGAAGUGAGUGCCAGCCCAUUUUUAUGGUUUCUACACACUCACAAAUUGUGCGCAGUCCUUUAGAGAGCAGAAAAUAAUAGGUCUGCAGGUUGGACAGCCUUGAUGUCAAUAGACGGGGCCCUUUCAGGUGUCACAGUCACAUUCUCAAAGCAAGGUACCUGUGGAGGUACUGUGUGUCAAGGUCACCCUGUAUGUGCUGUAGAUGCUGCCUGUCUCAAACAAAUGGCAGCUGUGGAAAGCAGCCUCCGUGCCAUUUGCAUUUGUUUGCUGUCAUGAAUGUAUGCAUAUACUGUACACACUUUAGCGUGGUUGUUUGUCCAUUUGUGCAUGCCGAAUGCCUCACCUGGCCUGACCAUCAUCACUUUCCCACUCGCAUGCUUUGAUCUCGCCUGUACCAGCCCACAUCCGAACCCAUUCUUCUCACCAUAAAUCAAAUCCCAUGUUCCACCUCUGCAUGUGUCACGCCAUCCCCUGAGGGGAAAAUCUCACAAUCCUGACC
Long non-coding RNA from Acanthochromis polyacanthus (spiny chromis), 869 nucleotides. RefSeq lists it as uncharacterized. The record is from RefSeq and is a predicted model, not a curated record. The transcript has 3 exons. NCBI's taxonomy places the organism in Eukaryota, Metazoa, Chordata, Actinopteri, Pomacentridae.